GCUUUGUGUUUCUUGUUGUAUAUUGAAGUGGCAUACUGUCUGUGCACAAAAUAAAGCUGACUAUGUCUGUGUCCACGCAGUGAAGCCGGGUCAAUGUCCCAUACCAGAGAUGAUUCCACUGUGUGCUGAAAGCUGUUUCCAUGAUGGCCAGUGUCCUGCCACACAGAAAUGUUGCCCAACCACCGGUGGCUUUGCAUGCAGUGAACCACGUGGCCAGGGAAGCGGUUGUGGCCAGGGAAAUGGCCAGGACCAGGGAAGUGCUUCUGGCCAGGGCAGCGGUCAGGGAAGCGGACAGGGUCAGGCCAGCGGUCAGGGAUGUGGCCAGGACCAGGGCAGCGGCCAGGGAAGCGGUUCUGGACAGGGCAGCGGUCAGGGAAGUGGACAGGGCCAGGGCAGCGGUCAGGGAAGCGGCCAAGGAAGCGGUUCUGGUCAGGGAAGGGGCCAGGGAAGCGGACAGGGCCAGGGAAGCGGUUCUGGCCAGGGAAGUGGCCAGGGAAGUGGCCAGGGAAGCGGAGAGGGCAGCAGUCAGGGAAGUGGUUAUGGUCAGGGAAGCGGCCAGGGAAGCGGUUCUGGUCAGGGAAGCGGACAGGGCCAGGGAAGUGGCCA
This 606-nucleotide long non-coding RNA is filed under the name Sinocyclocheilus anshuiensis. RNAcentral's name for it is "lncRNA (ENSSANG00000038254.1)". The record is from RNAcentral. Lineage: Eukaryota; Metazoa; Chordata; Actinopteri; Cypriniformes; Cyprinidae.